CCCUUAGAUGUUCUGGGCCGCACGCGCGCUACACUGAUGCAUUCAACGAGUUUCUUCCUGGUCCGAGAGGAAUGGGUAACCUUUUGAAAGUGCAUCGUGAUAGGGAUAGACUAUUGCAAUUAUUGGUCUUCAACGAGGAAUUCCUAGUAGACGUAGUUCAUCAGACUGCAUCGAUUACGUCCCUGCCCUUUGUACACACCGCCCGUCGCUCCUACCGAUUGAAUGCUCAGGUGAGCCAUUCGGACUUUCAUCAUGCUGGUUUCCAGGUUUGAUGAAGGAAAGUCUUGCGAACCUUAUCAUUUAGAGGAAGGAGAAGUCGUAACA
Molecule: ribosomal RNA, 324 nt
Filed under: uncultured eukaryote
Lineage: Eukaryota
Description: partial 18S ribosomal RNA
Rfam family: Eukaryotic small subunit ribosomal RNA
Source: RNAcentral